RNAcentral lists this ribosomal RNA (253 nucleotides) under uncultured bacterium. RNAcentral's name for it is "partial 16S ribosomal RNA". It matches the Rfam family "Bacterial small subunit ribosomal RNA", at positions 524 to 776 of the family's 1533-position model. The record is from RNAcentral.
UACGAAGGGUGCAAGCGUUACUCGGAAUUACUGGGCGUAAAGCGCGCGUAGGCGGUCUUUUAAGUCGAAUGUGAAAGCCCUCGGCUCAACUGGGGAAGUGCAUCCGAAACUGAAAGGCUUGAGUACGAAAGAGGGUCGCGGAAUUCCCGGUGUAGAGGUGAAAUUCGUAGAUAUCGGGAGGAACACCGGUGGCGAAGGCGGCGACCUGGGUCGAUACUGACGCUGAGGCGCGAAAGCGUGGGGAGCAAACAGG